Molecule: ribosomal RNA, 207 nt
Filed under: uncultured bacterium
Lineage: Bacteria
Description: partial 16S ribosomal RNA
Rfam family: Bacterial small subunit ribosomal RNA
Source: RNAcentral
AGCGUAGGCGGCGUGGUAAGUCAGAUGUGAAAUCCCGGGGCUCAACCCCGGAACUGCAUCCGAUACUGCCAUGCUUGAGGGUUGGAGAGGUAGCUGGAAUUCUCGGUGUAGCAGUGAAAUGCGUGGAUAUCGAGAGGAACACUCGUGGCGAAGGCGAGCUACUGGACAACAUCUGACGCUGAGGCUCGAAGGCUAGGGGAGCAAAAG